GACGAACGCUGGCGGCGUGCCUAAUACAUGCAAGUCGAGCGAAGUUUUUCUGGUGCUUGCACUAGAAAAACUUAGCGGCGAACGGGUGAGUAACACGUAAAGAACCUGCCUCAUAGACUGGGACAACUAUUGGAAACGAUGGCUAAUACCGGAUAACAGUAUUUCUCGCAUGAGAGAUAUUUAAAAGUUGGUUAUGCUAACACUAUGAGAUGGCUUUGCGGUGCAUUAGCUAGUUGGUGGGGUAAAGGCCCACCAAGGCGACGAUGCAUAGCCGACCUGAGAGGGUGAUCGGCCACACUGGGACUGAGACACGGCCCAGACUCCUACGGGAGGCAGCAGUAGGGAAUCUUCCGCAAUGGGCGAAAGCCUGACGGAGCAACGCCGCGUGAGUGAAGAAGGAUUUCGGUUCGUAAAGCUCUGUUGUUAGGGAAGAAUGGAUAUGUAGUAACUAUACAUGUAAGAGACGGUACCUAACCAGAAAGCCACGGCUAGCUACGUG
This 499-nucleotide ribosomal RNA is filed under the name uncultured bacterium. RNAcentral describes it as "partial 16S ribosomal RNA". It matches the Rfam family "Bacterial small subunit ribosomal RNA", at positions 28 to 507 of the family's 1533-position model. The record is from RNAcentral.